This is a long non-coding RNA of Leptonychotes weddellii (Weddell seal), 786 nucleotides long. RefSeq lists it as uncharacterized. The record is from RefSeq and is a predicted model, not a curated record. NCBI's taxonomy places the organism in Eukaryota, Metazoa, Chordata, Mammalia, Carnivora, Phocidae.
CAGACGUGAGCGGCCCGGGAGCAGGCACUGUGUCCGAUUCACCUCUUUCUGCCUCACAAUGUGGCCCAGCGUGGGGCCUGACACUUGGAAGUUUCUCAAAGAGUUACUUGUUGAAUGAAUGAACAAAUGAAUGCUUUCUCCGAACUACUCUGAACUCUAGAUGGGAUUUACAAAGAAGGAAAGGGCUGAUCGCAGCUCCGGAUUCCUUACAUCACUUAACCAGCCAUUCGUGUGCCUCCGGGAUUCAAGGGGGCGGUGAACCCCUAAGAGCCUGGCUGGAUACCCCACUCCCUUCUGCUGACCAGUCCAGCCUGGGAUCCUGUGAGGUGAUCUGCAAGAAGUCCAGGCAGUUGAAUGACCUUUGCUGAACAUCAGCCUUACACAAGAAUGUACAUCCUCUGAGAACAAGAGCCUUGCAUGAAGGAGGCCAGCUGGGAAGCUGAUGCCCUGAGCUCUGGCAGUUGCAGUCACAGAGGUGAUGGCUAUUUAGAGAUACGUAAGGAUGGAGACAUUGGUGUUUAGACUGACUGACUAUGGGGGAUGACGUGAGAAAGGAGGACACUGGGUUGCUGGUCCAUCUCAGAUGGAGAAAGGGCACGGGAUUGAGGGCGUGCAUGGCUCAGGAUUCCCUGGCAGAGGCCAUGCUGAGACCUGCAUCCUGGAGUGGUGGUGUUUGUGUGGGGAGACUGGCUAGAUGCACACCAAAUCCCUUUCUUCUUCUUUCAAGCUUCCAGCCACAUUUCCCAGCCUUCCUGCAGUUAGAUGGGGGCCAGGUGAAGCUAUGUC